GAUGAACGCUGGCGGCGUGCCUAAUACAUGCAAGUCGAGCGAACAGACGAGGAGCUUGCUCCUCUGACGUUAGCGGCGGACGGGUGAGUAACACGUGGAUAACCUACCUAUAAGACUGGGAUAACUUCGGGAAACCGGAGCUAAUACCGGAUAAUAUAUUGAACCGCAUGGUUCAAUAGUGAAAGACGGUUUUGCUGACACUUAUAGAUGGAUCCGCGCCGCAUUAGCUAGUUGGUAAGGUAACGGCUUACCAAGGCGACGAUGCGUAGCCGACCUGAGAGGGUGAUCGGCCACACUGGAACUGAGACACGGUCCAGACUCCUACGGGAGGCAGCAGUAGGGAAUCUUCCGCAAUGGGCGAAAGCCUGACGGAGCAACGCCGCGUGAGUGAUGAAGGUCUUCGGAUCGUAAAACUCUGUUAUUAGGGAAGAACAAAUGUGUAAGUAACUAUGCACGUCUUGACGGUACCUAAUCAGAAAGCCACGGCUAACUACGUG
This 497-nucleotide ribosomal RNA is filed under the name uncultured bacterium. Its description in RNAcentral is "partial 16S ribosomal RNA". It matches the Rfam family "Bacterial small subunit ribosomal RNA", at positions 28 to 507 of the family's 1533-position model. The record is from RNAcentral.